Molecule: non-coding RNA, 76 nt
Organism: Glycine max (soybean)
Lineage: Eukaryota; Viridiplantae; Streptophyta; Magnoliopsida; Fabales; Fabaceae
Source: Rfam
GCCUGCUUAGCUUAGAGGUUUGAGCAUCGCAUAUUUUGUAAUGCGAUGGUCAUCGGUUUGAAUCCGAUAAUCGACU